This 1168-nucleotide ribosomal RNA is filed under the name uncultured Bacteroides sp. Its description in RNAcentral is "bacterial SSU rRNA". It matches the Rfam family "Bacterial small subunit ribosomal RNA", at positions 10 to 1176 of the family's 1533-position model. The record is from RNAcentral. Lineage: Bacteria; Pseudomonadati; Bacteroidota; Bacteroidia; Bacteroidales; Bacteroidaceae.
AGUUUGAUCCUGGCUCAGGAUGAACGCUAGCUACAGGCUUAACACAUGCAAGUCGAGGGGCAGCAUUGGAGUAGCAAUACUUCAGAUGGCGACCGGCGCACGGGUGAGUAACACGUAUCCAACCUGCCGCUUACUCGGGGAUAGCCUUUCGAAAGAAAGAUUAAUACCCGAUGGUAUAAAGAGUUCGCAUGUUCUCUUUAUUAAAGAAUUUCGGUAAGCGAUGGGGAUGCGUUCCAUUAGAUAGUUGGCGGGGUAACGGCCCACCAAGUCUACGAUGGAUAGGGGUUCUGAGAGGAAGGUCCCCCACAUUGGAACUGAGACACGGUCCAAACUCCUACGGGAGGCAGCAGUGAGGAAUAUUGGUCAAUGGACGAGAGUCUGAACCAGCCAAGUAGCGUGAAGGAUGACUGCCCUAUGGGUUGUAAACUUCUUUUAUAAGGGAAUAAAGUGAGGGACGUGUCCCUUUUUGUAUGUACCUUAUGAAUAAGGAUCGGCUAACUCCGUGCCAGCAGCCGCGGUAAUACGGAGGAUCCAAGCGUUAUCCGGAUUUAUUGGGUUUAAAGGGAGCGUAGGUUGACAUAUAAGUCAGCUGUGAAAGUUUACGGCUCAACCGUGAAAUUGCAGUUGAUACUGUAUGUCUUGAGUGUACAAGAGGUGGGCGGAAUUCGUGGUGUAGCGGUGAAAUGCUUAGAUAUCACGAAGAACUCCAAUUGCGAAGGCAGCUCACUGGGGUACAACUGACACUGAGGCUCGAAAGUGUGGGUAUCAAACAGGAUUAGAUACCCUGGUAGUCCACACAGUAAACGAUGAAUACUCGCUGUUUGCGAUAUACAGUAAGCGGCCAAGCGAAAGCAUUAAGUAUUCCACCUGGGGAGUACGCCGGCAACGGUGAAACUCAAAGGAAUUGACGGGGGCCCGCACAAGCGGAGGAACAUGUGGUUUAAUUCGAUGAUACGCGAGGAACCUUACCCGGGCUUGAAUUGCAGAGGAAUAUAGUUGAAAGAUUAUGGCCGCAAGGUCUCUGUGAAGGUGCUGCAUGGUUGUCGUCAGCUCGUGCCGUGAGGUGUCGGCUUAAGUGCCAUAACGAGCGCAACCCUUAUCAUUAGUUACUAACAGGUCAUGCUGAGGACUCKAGUGAGACUGCCGUCGUAAGAUGUGAGGAAGGUGG